RNAcentral lists this ribosomal RNA (811 nucleotides) under Escherichia coli. Its description in RNAcentral is "partial 23S ribosomal RNA". It matches the Rfam family "Bacterial large subunit ribosomal RNA", at positions 375 to 1191 of the family's 2925-position model. The record is from RNAcentral. Lineage: Bacteria; Pseudomonadati; Pseudomonadota; Gammaproteobacteria; Enterobacterales; Enterobacteriaceae.
GUACACAAAAAUGCACAUGCUGUGAGCUCGAUGAGUAGGGCGGGACACGUGGUAUCCUGUCUGAAUAUGGGGGGACCAUCCUCCAAGGCUAAAUACUCCUGACUGACCGAUAGUGAACCAGUACCGUGAGGGAAAGGCGAAAAGAACCCCGGCGAGGGGAGUGAAAAAGAACCUGAAACCGUGUACGUACAAGCAGUGGGAGCCUCUUUAUGGGGUGACUGCGUACCUUUUGUAUAAUGGGUCAGCGACUUAUAUUCUGUAGCAAGGUUAACCGAAUAGGGGAGCCGAAGGGAAACCGAGUCUUAACUGGGCGUUAAGUUGCAGGGUAUAGACCCGAAACCCGGUGAUCUAGCCAUGGGCAGGUUGAAGGUUGGGUAACACUAACUGGAGGACCGAACCGACUAAUGUUGAAAAAUUAGCGGAUGACUUGUGGCUGGGGGUGAAAGGCCAAUCAAACCGGGAGAUAGCUGGUUCUCCCCGAAAGCUAUUUAGGUAGCGCCUCGUGAAUUCAUCUCCGGGGGUAGAGCACUGUUUCGGCAAGGGGGUCAUCCCGACUUACCAACCCGAUGCAAACUGCGAAUACCGGAGAAUGUUAUCACGGGAGACACACGGCGGGUGCUAACGUCCGUCGUGAAGAGGGAAACAACCCAGACCGCCAGCUAAGGUCCCAAAGUCAUGGUUAAGUGGGAAACGAUGUGGGAAGGCCCAGACAGCCAGGAUGUUGGCUUAGAAGCAGCCAUCAUUUAAAGAAAGCGUAAUAGCUCACUGGUCGAGUCGGCCUGCGCGGAAGAUGUAACGGGGCUAAACCAUG